UCCAACUGAAGCAGGUAAUGUGCUUCUGCAGACACAGUGUCCGAGAGGAUGCGCAUCCUGAAGGGGGCUGGGGUGGGGGGGUGGCCGGUGGCCCCUGCCCCACCCGGUGCCAGAUCUGGCCAUACCCCCCAGAAGCUGGGGGUGCUGAGGAAGAGGAAGCCUUUCCAGCUGCAGGCACUGUUCCUUGUUAAAAACCAUCAUCACGGCCAGCUUUCAUCUCCUUUGACCCUGCUCACCUGGCUCUACCCCUUGCCAACAGCCAGGGCUCAGGAAACUUGCUGUUGGCUUGCCCUCCGUAGUCCUCGCCACCACCUCCCACUGUCCCCCGCUUGCUGCGAUCUGACCUCCUCAUCUGCCUACCAUCCUGCUGACGCUCCUCUGCUGAGUCACAGGGUGGCCAGGUUUCCUGACAGCCUAUCUGCAAAGUGUGGGUGUGCAGGGAGCGUUUGAAAAUGCCGUGGCUCCCGCUCAGGGAAGAAGUCAGAAGAAUACUCCGCUGCUUUGGCGUCACCAAGAUUUUUCUCCUGAGCCUCAGGAAUGGGUAGCUCGUGGCCUAUGGAGAAGACCCACUGGGGGUUCCUAAGGCAUGUUAGCCUCAGUGUGAGCAAAACCGAAGGCACCCUCCUCUCUUCCAUACCUACAGUGAUCAGACUAAGGAUUUGGCCUCCCCUGUACCCCUCUUUCAUCCUGCCUGCCGGCCUUCAACCAGCCCUCAUCAGUUCUCUGUCAGAUUUUGUUAGCAUCUCCAUCUUGGCCUCGCAGCUGGAGACAGAUGGAAAGGAAUAGGGCCAGCUUUAUGGCGGGCAUAAUUCAGUGGCCUUGACUCCAUCUGCCUGCCCUUGGCCUGGGAUGGGUUCACCCUCGGCCUGGUGGUGGGAUGCCUCAACUCUGUGAACAAAAAUGUCCUGAGGAAGCUAGAAGUUUUCCCACAGUAAGCCUCCCCUUGUAUCACUGGUCCGAACUGUUGCGUAGGCUCACUUCGGGCCCAGAGAUUAGCAAGAGGAAUGGGGUGACUCUGCUUGUGGAGAAGAUCAGGCCAACUGCUGGAGGGAGAUGGUUUCAGCUUGUCCCUGAGGGGACGGGCUCUGCUGGGGAGGAGUGGACUCCGGAGCGAAGCUGCAGCUCUCGAGGAAGAAGGAAGGGGAAGAUGCAUGCCAGCGGGGCAACCUGCAGUUUUCAUGGCCAACUCUCAGGGCAAACUUCUUAGAAGCAGUCAGCCGCCAAUAGGAACUUCAUCUUGCUUAGUCGGACCAAGCUGAAAACACUGAAAUCAAAGAUGGGCCGCUUCUCCUGUUCCACGCAGUAUGUUUUUUUUACUGAGGUGCAGCGCCUUCCAGGCCUAAAUGUUUUUUUAGCAGUUUCCUGUUACUGCUUGCCCAAGGCAGCUCAUCAAAAUAAUGCAAUAAAUAAAUAUCCCCCUAUAGCAGGUACCUGCCGUUUGCAGAUAGGAGAGCAGACUCGGGGAGUUUGCAGACUACUUAAAAUCACAAGUGACCACUGUUGAGUUGGCGGUUUGAAGUCUACCAAGCGGAGCAAGGAUGCCCCGGUGGGAGCGAGGGGCCGGGCAGAUGUACAGUUGUGGAGCUUCGGGAGCCAGUGUCCAAGCUGGCCCUCGGUGCUACUGGCCUCCUGGAAUUUGUAUCCUGUGUGGUGGGCCCCUCUUGCAUUGAUAGGGCUGCCAUUUAUUAACCAACAGGAUGUUGUAGGAAUGAUGGAUGUGACUUCUGAGAGUAGGUCCUAAAAGACAUUGUGGGGGUGCUUGGGUGGCUUAGUUGGUUAAGUAUCCGACUCUUGAUUUUGGCUCAGGUCAUGAUCUCAGGGUCAUGAGACUGAGCCCCACAUCGGGCUUUGUACUCAGUGUGUAGUCUGCUUGUCCUCUGUCUGCUCCCCUCCUCUGUCCUUGUUCUCCCUCUCUUUCUCUAAAAUAAAUUAUAUAUAUAUUUAA
Long non-coding RNA from Canis lupus familiaris (dog), 1945 nucleotides. RefSeq lists it as uncharacterized. The transcript is spliced from 6 exons. NCBI's taxonomy places the organism in Eukaryota, Metazoa, Chordata, Mammalia, Carnivora, Canidae. The record is from RefSeq and is a predicted model, not a curated record.